GAUGAACGCUAGCUACAGGCUUAACACAUGCAAGUCGAGGGGAAACGGCAUUGAGUGCUUGCACUCUUUGGACGUCGACCGGCGCACGGGUGAGUAACGCGUAUCCAACCUUCCCAUUACUGUGGGAUAACCUGCCGAAAGGCCGACUAAUACCGCAUAGUCUUCGAUGACGGCAUCAGAUUUGAAGUAAAGAUUUAUCGGUAAUGGAUGGGGAUGCGUCUGAUUAGCUUGUUGGCGGGGUAACGGCCCACCAAGGCUACGAUCAGUAGGGGUUCUGAGAGGAAGGUCCCCCACAUUGGAACUGAGACACGGUCCAAACUCCUACGGGAGGCAGCAGUGAGGAAUAUUGGUCAAUGGACGGAAGUCUGAACCAGCCAAGUAGCGUGCAGGAUGACGGCCCUAUGGGUUGUAAACUGCUUUUGUAUGGGGAUAAAGUUAGGGACGUGUCCCUAUUUGCAGGUACCAUACGAAUAAGGACCGGCUAAUUCCGUG
Molecule: ribosomal RNA, 492 nt
Filed under: uncultured bacterium
Lineage: Bacteria
Description: partial 16S ribosomal RNA
Rfam family: Bacterial small subunit ribosomal RNA
Source: RNAcentral